AUGCUGCAUCACACUGACUUGGGGGCGGGAGGAGCCCAGGCCACACCAGUCACCAUCACUACCCAGUCCAGGAGAGAAACGGCCCCUGCCCCCUCCCCCCAACUUCCCAGGCCAGGGCAGCCUUACAGCCCGGCCCCAGUAGCAAAGGGUACUCUUCGAGGUUAUGGUCCCAGCCCCUCAGGGCAACCUGUACUUCACUCUCUAACAAAAGGCGGCCUCUUCCUCGGUCCCGGGGGCUUCCCCACCCAGGGCAAAUCGGGGAGGGGGGGGGCACGCCACACCCCAGGACCGAGAAACACCCACUGCUUCCGGGACAUGGGGGAGGGGCGAGGAGAGACGCGGGCCCGGCAGCGGCUGGUCAAAGGGCGCGAGGGUCAAGGGUCAGGGGGCGGAGGCACGGGACCCCAGGCCCCUCCCCUCCCCCUCACUCACCCCGCCCGGGGGGCUGCGCCGGGGCCCCGGGGCCUCUCAGGGCCGCGUCCUCCGGCGGCGGCGACGGCGGCGGCUGCUGCUGCUGCUGCUACUCCUCCGGGAACCCAUGUCCGUCCGUCCGUCCGCCCGCGCCUCACCUCCCAGAGCCGGGGGUCGAGCCACCCCCUCCCCCCCGCCGCCGCCUCAGCGGGCGGCCAUGGCCCCUUCCUUCCCCUCCCUCCUGGCCUCGCUGCCUCGUCACCGCCUCCUGCUCACCUCACCCCGCCCCUCCCCCUCCAACUACCCCCCCGCUCCGGGACGAUCCAGCCCGCCUCUCCCGGGCGGGGGGCAAGGCGCGAGGAGCCCAGAGCGCGCGCGCGCGAGGCAAGCCGGGCGCGCGCGCCACCCCGCCCCACGCUCGGCCUCCCCACUGCGGCCUCGACCCUCGGGCCCCUCCCCUCUCCCGCUGUCCCCUCCCUCACUUCCUGCCCGCCUGUUCUCCCUUCCGCGCGCGCAGCAGCUGCUCGAGCUAGCGGGGUCCCGGCGCGUGCAUCUGCUCCGCGGGCCGCCGCUCAGCAGCAUUGGCUAUUGGGGGCGGGGAUGGGGCGGGAGAAGCCGUGGAAGCGGAGAGGAGGGGCGCCACGCCGCGGCGAACGUCCCGACGGCCGCACCUCCCCAGAGAGCGUGGGGAGGGGGCGGGGCCUCGAUUGUCUUCUCUCCGCCAAUGGGAAGCACACGUCCCUGCCGUUUGGCCAAUAG
Molecule: long non-coding RNA, 1170 nt
Filed under: Monodelphis domestica (gray short-tailed opossum)
Lineage: Eukaryota; Metazoa; Chordata; Mammalia; Didelphimorphia; Didelphidae
Description: lncRNA (ENSMODG00000043918.1)
Source: RNAcentral